Molecule: ribosomal RNA, 449 nt
Filed under: uncultured bacterium
Lineage: Bacteria
Description: partial 16S ribosomal RNA
Rfam family: Bacterial small subunit ribosomal RNA
Source: RNAcentral
AACGAACGCUGGCGGCAUGCCUAACACAUGCAAGUCGAACGAGAUCUUCGGGUCUAGUGGCGCACGGGUGCGUAACGCGUGGGAAUCUGCCCUUUGGUUCGGAAUAACAGUUGGAAACGACUGCUAAUACCGGAUGAUGACGAAAGUCCAAAGAUUUAUCGCCAGAGGAUGAGCCCGCGUAGGAUUAGCUAGUUGGUGUGGCAAAGGCGCACCAAGGCGACGAUCCUUAGCUGGUCUGAGAGGAUGAUCAGCCACACUGGGACUGAGACACGGCCCAGACUCCUACGGGAGGCAGCAGUGGGGAAUAUUGGACAAUGGGCGAAAGCCUGAUCCAGCAAUGCCGCGUGAGUGAUGAAGGCCUUAGGGUUGUAAAGCUCUUUUACCCGGGAUGAUAAUGACAGUACCGGGAGAAUAAGCUCCGGCUAACUCCAUGCCAGCCGCCGCAGUAA